This 254-nucleotide ribosomal RNA is filed under the name uncultured bacterium. RNAcentral's name for it is "partial 16S ribosomal RNA". It matches the Rfam family "Bacterial small subunit ribosomal RNA", at positions 524 to 776 of the family's 1533-position model. The record is from RNAcentral.
UACGUAGGGUCCAAGCGUUAUCCGGAAUUACUGGGCGUAAAGAGUUGCGUAGGUGGCAUUGUAAGCAAGUAGUGAAAGCGUGCGGCUUAACCGCAUACACAUUAUUUGAACUGCAAAGCUAGAGGAUGAGAGAGGUUAUUGGAAUUCCCAGUGUAGGAGUGAAAUCCGUAGAUAUUGGGAGGAACACCGAUGGCGUAGGCAGAUAACUGGCUCAUUCCUGACACUAAGGCACGAAAGCGUGGGGAGCGAACGGG